RNAcentral lists this ribosomal RNA (831 nucleotides) under uncultured fungus. Its description in RNAcentral is "eukaryotic LSU rRNA". The stretch from base 215 to 371 matches the Rfam family "5.8S ribosomal RNA". The record is from RNAcentral. Lineage: Eukaryota; Fungi.
GGGUUUUCCGUAUGGGACCUGCGGAGGAUCAUUAACGUGUACGGUGUUUGUUCGUCGUACGUGUAAAAUAAUCCAUAGUCAUAUCAUAGAGAGGUGAAAUUCCGCAAGCCUCUCGGUAUCUUGACGCGGUUAGAUGGAGCGCGCGAGAGCGCGCUCGUUCUAAGACAUUUUCGUUUGUUAAUUUUUUUUUCUUUUUCAGGUAAUCAAAAACCACUACCCUGGACGGUGGAUCACUUGGCUCGCGGGUCGAUGAAGGACGCAGUUAACUGCGCGUCAUAGUGUGAACUGCAGGACACAUUUGAACAUCGACAUUUCGAACGCACAUUGCGGUCCCUGGAGACACAUCCGGGACCACUCCUGUCUGAGGGCCGGCUGCAUAAAAACAAAGACCACACUGCGCCGUCUCACGGCGCACUUGACGGUUCCGACUCUGGUCCGUUCAAAUAUGGAUCGUGUAAGAUCGCUGACACGGGUGAGCUCUCGAGGCGCACCGAAGCGACUCUUCGGACUCUCUCGAGUACGCGAGAGUGUGUUCGGUGUCUCUGCUUCGGAGCUCGAGCUUCCCGUUACGGCAGGUAGGCGGACUCGACGUCCGAAGGGCGUAUCGAUAUUGUUAUCGUGCGCUGACGGAUAUCGAGUCUGCCUCUCAUUUUAUCGUUGGCCUCAGAUCACGGAGGAUCACCCGCCGAAUUUAAGCAUAUCAUAAAACCGGAGGAAAGACGAUGUUCAAAUGUGUCGCGGCAGGUAGCCCUGUGACGCGCCGGUUAACUGGCGUCUUUCUUCGACCCGCGAGCCAAGUGGUCCACCGUCAAGGGAGUGGUGUUGAGUUCC